UACGAAGGGGGCUAGCGUUGCUCGGAAUCACUGGGCGUAAAGCGCACGUAGGCGGCUUGUUAAGUCGGGGGUGAAAUCCUGGAGCUCAACUCCAGAACUGCCUCCGAUACUGGCGAGCUCGAGUCCGGGAGAGGUGAGUGGAACUGCGAGUGUAGAGGUGAAAUUCGUAGAUAUUCGCAAGAACACCAGUGGCGAAGGCGGCUCACUGGCCCGGUACUGACGCUGAGGUGCGAAAGCGUGGGGAGCAAACAGG
RNAcentral lists this ribosomal RNA (253 nucleotides) under uncultured bacterium. RNAcentral's name for it is "partial 16S ribosomal RNA". It matches the Rfam family "Bacterial small subunit ribosomal RNA", at positions 524 to 776 of the family's 1533-position model. The record is from RNAcentral.